GAUGAACGCUAGCUACAGGCCUAACACAUGCAAGUCGAGGGGUAACGAGAGGAAAGCUUGCUUUCCUUGUCGACGACCGGCGCACGGGUGAGUAACGCGUAUCCAACCUGCUCCCAACUAGGGAAUAACCUUGCUAAAGUAAGACUAAUACCCGAUAAUUUCCUCAGAUGUCAUCUGACGAGGAAUAAAGAUUUAUCGGUUGUGGAUGGGGAUGCGUCUGAUUAGAGUGUUGGCGGGGUAACGGCCCACCAAGGCAACGAUCAGUAGGGGUUCUGAGAGGAAGGUCCCCCACAUUGGAACUGGGACACGGGCCAAACUCCUACGGGAGGCAGCAGUGAGGAAUAUUGGUCAAUGGGCGGAAGCCUGAACCAGCCAAGUAGCGUGCAGGAUGACGGCCCUAUGGGUUGUAAACUGCUUUUAUACAGGAAUAAAGUUAGCCACGUGUGGUUAUUUGUAGGUACUGUAUGAAUAAGGACCGGCUAAUUCCGUGCCAGCCGCCGCGGUAA
RNAcentral lists this ribosomal RNA (506 nucleotides) under uncultured bacterium. RNAcentral's name for it is "partial 16S ribosomal RNA". It matches the Rfam family "Bacterial small subunit ribosomal RNA", at positions 28 to 523 of the family's 1533-position model. The record is from RNAcentral.